Molecule: non-coding RNA, 4118 nt
Organism: Xyrichtys novacula (pearly razorfish)
Lineage: Eukaryota; Metazoa; Chordata; Actinopteri; Labriformes; Labridae
Source: the annotation of a GenBank genome assembly
UGCUGAUCUGUGCUGUAAAGUUGGAGAUUUUACCAUGGGGUUCCAUGGGGAUUCACUCACCUUAUGAGACAGCCUCUGGUGGAGAAACUGCAGUUUGGUGGUGCUGCUGCUGCAUCAGGGGAAUUUAUGAAUAAUAUAACAAGUUCCACUUUAAAUCAAAAACUUUUAGCAACUUUCAAAAGUUUUCUCUUUAACCUGAUUUAUUAUCCAUAGUUUUAGACUCCAAUACAGCAUUAUUAUGUCAUCCUAGACUCCUACAAAAAUACCAAACUUCCACUAAAGACAAAUUUAUGAAUCAACAUUUUAACUCUGUUUGGUCUCAAAAAUACAAACUGUCCAUAAACAGUCCUGCUGCACACAAAGAUACACUUCUACUUCUUUUCUGAGAUGUCUCUCUCUCUUCUCUUCUGUCAGAAUGAUUUUCCACUUUUCUUCAUUUUCCUCUACCUCAUCAGACACUAUACACCACACACACACACACACACACACAUACCAAAUGGCAGCAGCGUCAUGUAGGAGGAUAAAUCAGCACUCCUCAGCAGAAAGGUCAGCAGAGUCAAGACACCCCGAUUAAUUUCUUUUUUCUCAACUCUCGGAGAAACAGAUUUAUUAUGAACUCCUCUCGUCCUCAGAGGGACACCAAAACCCAUCACGUGAUUCAGUCCUCCACAAACUCUACUGCAGAACCUGAGGCCUGUACUACGAAGCUGGAUUUGGUCUUAGCGAGAUAACUUCUGGAUAACUUCUGGGUUUUCUGUACUACGAAGGUGGAUCUCUUUUUAUCCGGGUCCGUUGCCCCGGUAACUUACGCGGAACGCCAAACCUGCUCCGGAGCAGGUUAUGUUUCAGGAUAAGAUCUCAGCAGGAAUAGAAGACCGCCCGAUGACCAAUCGGAUCUCUUGGAAAAUGGCUUGCCCACUUUUGCCGGAUCCCGGGGACAUCGUUGCACGGAUAGUGAGAGGAGCGCUUCGCCGAGAGCGUUAUAUUCGUGAUCGUUCAAACCCCUUUGAUUUACCUGAUGACGUUCUCUCUCAAUAUUCAGGUUGCAUGAAGUCUAAGCAAUACACUAAUAUUUGCCCAGCUCCAGGUUCCAAUUUCAUGCGGCAUUUCAGUCAUCAUUCAGAAUUUAUUGAAGCAGAUUAGAAAACUCUUAACCCCAAAUGUGUCUGCAGAUGACAUGUGACCGUCAGAUGAUGAAGAAAAAAAGGCAGUGUGAGGAAAUCACUGUUUACGCGUUGAAAUGUGUACAAAUAAAAUCUUCCAAUAAACUUACAAACUACUUUAAAGAAUGUUUUUAGAUUUAUUUUUAUUUGCUCCCACGUACUCUUUUCCCCACUGCUGUUGUAUCUGAAAUAAUGAGGUCUAUGAUGGAGGUGAUCACACACGCUGCAUGACAACAUAUAAGGGGGGCAUAAAUUUAUGAACGCACAAAUGUAAUUUACAAAAACGGUGAUUUUUUUUUUUUUGCCAGCAGUCCCUCCGGUUUUUAGCGGCUGCGGCUGUCUCACUGUUUAAAUUAAGCUCUGUUCUUCAGCUGUGAAAAAUGACGUGCAGCCUUCUCCAUUGUGGAGAUUGGUCCGGUGGCACUGACCCCACCCUCUUUACGUGUGCGCGCACAGAUCUGAAGUGGAUUCAGUUUUCGAGUUGAUAACCGGCUUCGUAGUACAGCUGAUCGGGAUCGCGGAGAUCCGGUGAAGUUGAGCGAGUUGUCGCAGAGUUACCCUGGAUGUAUUAAUCCAGCUUCGUAGUACAGGCCUCAGGGCUGCUCUUGGAGGUGGAUCAAGAACUAAAGCAUAGACCCAGUUAAAGUUUCUGAAUUACCACAGGAUCCCAUACCCACCACCAAACACUCCAUCUACUAAACAAAUAACACACAUUUUAAAAGUGUGUUCAGUUUGCCUCAACCUAUAGAGCUGAUAGCAAUCAAUCCAACAACAACUAACUUUCUGUGUUACUUCAAUCACACUGAUUGAUUGAUAUGCACUGACGCCCAUCUCCCACCUGGACAAAAAUGGGUGUGAAACUUAUAUUAAGGACAUUUGGACUCAACAGAGACCCCAUAGACACAAUGAUCAUCAUUUCAUGACAUUUGACAUGUACCUGAUUUAAAGGUGAGGCACUUCACCAAGCGAACCCCAAUACUCAGGUUUGAUUGAUAAAGGAGGUGAACCUCAAUAAACUACAGGUACAGUCAGGUUGGUGGUUUGGAUGAAGGUGAGGAGACUUUUUUUGUAUAGCUAUGCCUUUGAUAAACCAGAGGACUUUGAAAAAGCUUUCUUGAGACUUUCGUAGGACUAACAUUUGAUACCCUCCCAGUGUUUUGUGCAUGUGUAACUACGGCUUCUGUCAAGCUGCUUUUUUAUUUCAAGUUUAUUUAAGGGCUUUAUGGCUCUCCGGGAGGGAGAAUGACAUGAGUUGAAAGGUUUUCUCUUUACUCAAUGAACGGUUUGUUUGAAUUUUGGCGCUCCCUGUGGACAAAGCAGUUUUAGCGCAUCUUGUCCAUCAUGAGUUCAGGUCGUGAAACAAAAUUCUUAUCCUGCUGACUUUUGGGAAAUGUCCUCUGUGUUGGGGUUAGACCCCCUGAGGUUAGAGUUUGGGUGGUAUUUAUUGGAGCAAUUCAGCAAGAAGGCUUAGACCUGGAGGGUUCAAACCACACGGAAGUGCAACAGGAAGAAAGAAAGACAGAAAGAAAGAAAGAAAGAAAGAAAGAAAGAAAGAAAGAAAGAAAGAAAGAAGUCUCAGAUGAACUUUAUGAAGUGUAAAACAUGGAUCCAAGUUUAACUAGGAGUGAUGCUUGGACGUGGUUUCUGACCCUGAGGUAGACAAGGGUCUCUUUAAACCGUCUUGCUGAAAGGCACAGAGUUGUAAAUCUCAGGAACAAGCUCAUGAAACAGUCACAUAAAAAGUCAACGAGGUGGUGAGCGGAGAAACAGUAGCUGUGAGAGGAAGGAGGAGGAGGAGUGAUGGUGACCCCGGCUCCCCCCUUCUCUCCUGUCAGUCAGCUCCACCUCAGCUUUCCCCCCGAAAAAACAAUCAAGUUUUUAUGAAGCCGAGGUCGACUGUCAUUUCACAGAGAGAAACCUGAGACGUGAUCUUACACUGCACACGCACACACACACACACACAUACACACACACACACACACACACACACACAGCAAGACUGAAAAGUGUUGCUUUUUCACAAAAUGUAAUCGAUUGUUUCUCUGCAAUAAAGAAAGCAUAUAUAGUAGCUCCUUUUUUGACUCAACUAUGUGACACUUCAUACUCUCAGAGCUAAAACUUACUCACAGGAUCCAUUUUGCUGUUUUCACAUUACACGAUUAUCUUCAGUGGAGGAAGUUUUUAUAUGCUGAAAUUUCAAGCCAUUAUUAGCAGUGUAUUGAACAUUGUAUUGUAGCCUAAAGACCACAUCAGGAUGAGACGUGACCUGCAUCAUUUAGAAAUCAAACAGAAAGUUUCUCUCCACAAUAAUUUUCAUGAAGAAAAACCCAGAGAGAUGCAUUAGAUUGUUAAGCAGCUAGAGCAAAGGUACUGCAGUUUGUUGAAGUAAAUCACAGGAAGUGAUUCUUUUCUGUUUUAGCAUCUUAACAGUCGAGGUACAUCCACACCCGGAUACUUUGGAGGAGUUGUUUACCUCCUUGUCUCUGGUCAUUUGUAUUUAUGUGCCCACAGUCACUCUGCUGAAGAACAAAACAAGUGAGCUGAGAUCGUCUCAAAGAGCCUUUGCUUACUUCCAAUAAAGUCUUAGAGCAACGAGCACACAAUCAACCCAGCAACCACAACAAACAGCUUCCUGACUCAUUACAUUCCAGUGGCACUAAGGUUGUUAGCACAAGAGUAGCUAAGUUCACUCACCAUUUCCAGCCUGUCAACACCAGCAGAAGAGCCGGUGUUUGGUAAAGCAACAUCACAGGACUUUUAAACAUUUGCUGGUUAUAUAACUGGUUGUGUGUGACCCACAAGUGUGUAUACCACUGUGUUUUUGUGAAUGGUGUUUUGCAUAACCUUCGGGCUUUUAACAGCCAAUUUAUGAUAGAGCUAGAGACUAAUUUGGAUAUAACUUUUUUUUUACUGCAGCAAAUGUGAUGAAUUUUUUUUUCUAAGCUUAAUUUGAAA